This 192-nucleotide small nuclear RNA is filed under the name Myotis davidii. RNAcentral's name for it is "7SK RNA". It matches the Rfam family "7SK RNA", at positions 1 to 188 of the family's 331-position model. From Rfam's summary of the family: 7SK was discovered as an abundant small nuclear RNA in the mid-70s but a possible function has only recently been suggested. Two independent studies have found that 7SK RNA binds the CDK9/cyclin T complex (known as elongation factor P-TEFb). Lineage: Eukaryota; Metazoa; Chordata; Mammalia; Chiroptera; Vespertilionidae. The record is from Rfam by way of RNAcentral.
GGAUGUGAGGGCGAUCUGGCUGCGACAUCUGUCCCCCAUUGAUCGCCAGGGUUGAUUCGGCUGAUCUGGCUGGCUAGGCGGGUGUCCCCCUCCUCCCUCACCGAUCCAUGUGCGUCCCUCCCGAAGCUGCGCGCGCUCGGUGGAAGAGGACGACCUUCAAUGUUUAUUGAUUUGAAGAAGGUAAAGGGAGAG